This 267-nucleotide unclassified non-coding RNA is filed under the name Gigaspora margarita. RNAcentral describes it as "partial contains 5.8S ribosomal RNA and internal transcribed spacer 2". The stretch from base 1 to 71 matches the Rfam family "5.8S ribosomal RNA", at positions 84 to 154 of the family's 154-position model. Lineage: Eukaryota; Fungi; Glomeromycota; Glomeromycetes; Diversisporales; Gigasporaceae. The record is from RNAcentral.
GUGAAUCAUCAAAUUUUUGAACGCAAAUUGCACUUCUUGGUAUUCCGAGGAGUACACAUGCUUGAGGGUCAGUUAAAAAAAAUCGUGCAUCAUUGAUGUUGCGGAUCUGGGUAUUCCGAUUUUAUAAAUUGGUUACCUAAAAUUAAUAUGGUUAUGUAAUGUGAAGCGUACUAAUUAUAUAGUCGCUAAUCAUGGAGGCUUAUUACAGUACAACGAUACGACGAAGUAGGGAGUGGGGGUAUAAAGGAUGAGAAGGAACGCAAGUCA